This 482-nucleotide ribosomal RNA is filed under the name uncultured bacterium. Its description in RNAcentral is "partial 16S ribosomal RNA". It matches the Rfam family "Bacterial small subunit ribosomal RNA", at positions 30 to 507 of the family's 1533-position model. The record is from RNAcentral.
AUUGAACGCUGGCGGCAUGCUUUACACAUGCAAGUCGAACGGCAGCGCGGGGCAACCUGGCGGCGAGUGGCGAACGGGUGAGUAAUAUAUCGGAACGUACCCAGAAGUGGGGGAUAACGUAGCGAAAGUUACGCUAAUACCGCAUACGAUCUACGGAUGAAAGUAGGGGACCGCAAGGCCUUAUGCUUUUGGAGCGGCCGAUAUCUGAUUAGCUAGUUGGUGAGGUAAAGGCUCACCAAGGCGACGAUCAGUAGCUGGGCUGAGAGGACGACCAGCCACACUGGAACUGAGACACGGUCCAGACUCCUACGGGAGGCAGCAGUGGGGAAUUUUGGACAAUGGGCGCAAGCCUGAUCCAGCAAUGCCGCGUGAGUGAAGAAGGCCUUCGGGUUGUAAAGCUCUUUUGUCAGGGAAGAAACGGUAGAGGCUAAUAUCCUUUGCUAAUGACGGUACCUGAAGAAUAAGCACCGGCUAACUACGUG